UACGGAGGGGACUAGCGUUGUUCGGAAUUACUGGGCGUAAAGCGCACGUAGGCGGAUUUGUAAGUCAGGGGUGAAAUCCCGGGGCUCAACCUCGGAACUGCCUUUGAUACUGCAAAUCUCGAGUCCGGAAGAGGUGAGUGGAAUUCCGUAGUGUAGAGGUGAAAUUCGUAGAUAUUAGGAAGAACACCAGUGGCGAAGGCGGCUCACUGGUCCGGUACUGACGCUAAGGUGCGAAAGCGUGGGGGAGCAAACAGG
RNAcentral lists this ribosomal RNA (255 nucleotides) under uncultured bacterium. RNAcentral's name for it is "partial 16S ribosomal RNA". It matches the Rfam family "Bacterial small subunit ribosomal RNA", at positions 524 to 776 of the family's 1533-position model. The record is from RNAcentral.